GGUGACAAUUAUUAUCAAGACUCUAUUAGAUGCCCAGACCUGGACUAAGCACCCUGGGAAAUGCUGAGAUACGUGACUGGAGGUCCUCGGGGGCAGUUGGAAAGACAGGAAUGGGUACAACAGGAGACCACCUUGGCGUCUGCGGUUCACUAUCCACAGCAACCGUGGAAAGAGUGUGGGCUUUGGAGUCAGGCUAUCUGGGUUAAAUACUGCCCCUGCCACUUAAUAACAGUGUGACCAAAGAUAGGUGCUGCUCCAGCCUGUGUCA
Molecule: long non-coding RNA, 268 nt
Filed under: Homo sapiens (human)
Lineage: Eukaryota; Metazoa; Chordata; Mammalia; Primates; Hominidae
Description: HSALNT0031008
Source: RNAcentral